RNAcentral lists this ribosomal RNA (606 nucleotides) under Rhizopus arrhizus. Its description in RNAcentral is "eukaryotic LSU rRNA". The stretch from base 214 to 367 matches the Rfam family "5.8S ribosomal RNA". Lineage: Eukaryota; Fungi; Mucoromycota; Mucoromycetes; Mucorales; Rhizopodaceae. The record is from RNAcentral.
CCUGCGGAAGGAUCAUUAAUGUAUGUAUAAAGCGCCUUACCUUAGGGUUUCCUCUGGGGUAAGUGAUUGCUUCUACACUGUGAAAAUUUGGCUGAGAGACUCAGACUGGUCAUGGGUAGACCUAUCUGGGGUUUGAUCGAUGCCACUCCUGGUUUCAGGAGCACCCUUCAUAAUAAACCUAGAAAUUCAGUAUUAUAAAGUUUAAUAAAAAACAACUUUUAACAAUGGAUCUCUUGGUUCUCGCAUCGAUGAAGAACGUAGCAAAGUGCGAUAACUAGUGUGAAUUGCAUAUUCAGUGAAUCAUCGAGUCUUUGAACGCAGCUUGCACUCUAUGGUUUUUCUAUAGAGUACGCCUGCUUCAGUAUCAUCACAAACCCACACAUAACAUUUGUUUAUGUGGUGAUGGGUCGCAUCGCUGUUUUAUUACAGUGAGCACCUAAAAUGUGUGUGAUUUUCUGUCUGGCUUGCUAGGCAGGAAUAUUACGCUGGUCUCAGGAUCUUUUUUUUUGGUUCGCCCAGGAAGUAAAGUACAAGAGUAUAAUCCAGCAACUUUCAAACUAUGAUCUGAAGUCAGGUGGGAUUACCCGCUGAACUUAAGCAUAUCAA